AAACCAUGUUGGGGGCUACGUCUGAGUAAAUACUGAAAUCUCUCCCAAGCAUUAUUUAUCGUCUCAUCCCCCAUCUGAGCAAAGUGUGAGAUCUUCAGGAUGACCUU
Molecule: small nucleolar RNA, 107 nt
Organism: Salvia miltiorrhiza (redroot sage)
Lineage: Eukaryota; Viridiplantae; Streptophyta; Magnoliopsida; Lamiales; Lamiaceae
Source: RefSeq, a predicted model, not a curated record